UACAGAGGGUGCAAGCGUUAUUCGGAAUCACUGGGCUUACAGAGUUCGUAGGCGGUUCUACAAGUGGGGUGUGAAAGCCCUCGGCUCAACCGAGGAACUGCGCUCCAAACUGUAGAACUAGAGGGAGAUAGAGGUGAGCGGAACUGAUGGUGGAGCGGUGAAAUGCGUUGAUAUCAUCAGGAACACCGGAGGCGAAGGCGGCUCACUGGGUCUCUUCUGACGCUGAGGAACGAAAGCUAGGGGAGCAAACGGG
Molecule: ribosomal RNA, 253 nt
Filed under: uncultured bacterium
Lineage: Bacteria
Description: partial 16S ribosomal RNA
Rfam family: Bacterial small subunit ribosomal RNA
Source: RNAcentral